ACCUGGUAUUUUGUAUCUUUAAGUACUCAUUCAAAUUUUUAAAAGUUGAUUUAAAAACUUUUUACUUUUAAUUUUAGGUCAGAAAUCACAGAGACCUUCAACAGCAAAUUUUCCACUUUGCAACUCUGUUAAAGAAAGCUCCAGCUGCCUUUCAUCCUCUCAUCCUCGAUCAAGAAGUGCAGCUGCUCAAUCAUUAUCUAGAGCUGCUUCUGAAAUUUCAGAAAUUGAAUAUGUUGAUAUUACUGACCAGAAUGAGCUUUCCUUAGAUGACACUACUGAUCAACAUACCUUAGACAGUUUGGAAAAAGAAUUACAAGUGCUGAGAACUCUUGCAGAUACUUCAGAAAAGCUUUACAGCUUAACCUCAGAAGAGUUCCCAGAUUUCAGCAGCCAAUCACUGAAUAUAAGUCAGACUUCCACAGAUUUCCUUAAGACCUCACAUGUGAGGGGUCCCUGUGGAGUUGAGGAAUUGAGCUGUUCUGGAAGAGAUACCAAAAUUCAGUCUUUGCUGUCACUUUCUGAGAGCAGUACGGAUGAGGAGGAGGAAGAUUUUCUCAACAAGCAACAUGUCAUCACACUACCAUGGUCAAAGAGUACUUAAAGAUUAUUUGUUCAUUACUGUUUCAAUUUUGCACCCAGAGUAAAGCAAACAACUGAGAAAAGUAACCAAGUGAUUACCUGUCCAAGUGCUGGAGAUUUUGAUUAUUAAUGUCUUUGAUGUUUCAAGGCUACAAACUAAUAAAAGUAAAAUUAUAA
Molecule: small RNA, 756 nt
Filed under: Pongo abelii (Sumatran orangutan)
Lineage: Eukaryota; Metazoa; Chordata; Mammalia; Primates; Hominidae
Description: retained intron
Source: RNAcentral